Molecule: non-coding RNA, 727 nt
Filed under: Pan troglodytes (chimpanzee)
Lineage: Eukaryota; Metazoa; Chordata; Mammalia; Primates; Hominidae
Source: RNAcentral
CGGCGGAUUCGGGCACCCAGCGUGCUCCGUCCGACUGACCCCGAGCGGCCCGAAUCCAGCCUCGGCCACCGGGGGCGGGGCUUGAAAAGGGGGCGUCUCUUCCCGGCGGAGGGACCUCGGACCACCCCCACUUCAGACAAGGGACCCCGAGUGCGCACCGUUUCCUUUCCAUAACGAGUGGACCCCCCCCUCCCGGGAGCACUCCUUUAGCCCUUCCUCCGUGGGAGACCCCCCAGGGCUGGCACGAGAGAUGCCAACGGACCCCCCCCCCCGACACACCUGCGUCGCCUCCGGCACGCGCUCUGCCCGGUACCUCCCCUCGGGCGCCUUCUCCCCCAAGCUGGCUGGGAGCUGGGACGGGGACGCGCAGGGUCCGGGAGAGUUACGGGCUUAAGACUUCAUCUCAUUGUGGAAAGCAAGAGACCAAGCCAAAAACUUUGGUCGUGCUUUUCAACAUCUCUGGUCAAAAGAGGUCGCCAAUCUGGUUUUCUCCCAUUGCAGCGUGAUAGAGGGGUGUGGUGCCAUGAUACCGCUUUUAAAAAUCCUGUUGAAUGCAAGUCCUCUUUGUUGCUCAUUGAACAAUGAGGAUAUUUAGCUCCCCUCAGACCUACCCUCAGAGUUGGAUGAGCUAUCCUCGGAGUUGGAUGCCACCACCGGCAGCAGCAAAAGCGAAGGCAACUCAUGAUUCUGCCUCAGAAGCAAUCGAAUAAAACAUUUUGAAAAUGAA